GACGAACGCUGGCGGCGUGCCUAAUACAUGCAAGUCGAGCGGGGUAGAGAGAGCUUGCUCUCAAAGCCUAGCGGCGGACGGGUGAGUAACACGUAGGCAACCUGCCUGUAAGCCUGGGAUAACUCCGGGAAACCGGAGCUAAUACCAGAUAAGCUGUAAGACCGCAUGGUCUUACACUAAAAGGAUGCGAUCCACUUACAGAUGGGCCUGCGGCGCAUUAGCUCGUUGGUGAGGUAACGGCUCACCAAGGCAACGAUGCGUAGCCGACCUGAGAGGGUGACCGGCCACACUGGGACUGAGACACGGCCCAGACUCCUACGGGAGGCAGCAGUAGGGAAUCUUCCGCAAUGGACGAAAGUCUGACGGAGCAACGCCGCGUGAGUGAUGAAGGUUUUCGGAUUGUAAAACUCUGUUGUCAGGGAAGAACACCCUAGAUCGGAUCUAGGACUGACGGUACCUGACGAGAAAGCCCCGGCUAACUACGUGCCAGCAGCCGCGGUAAUACGUAGGGGGCAAGCGUUGUCCGGAAUUAUUGGGCGUAAAGCGCGCGCAGGCGGUCCUUUAAGUCUGAUGUGAAAGUCCACGGCUCAACCGUGGGAUUGCAUUGGAAACUGGGGGACUUGAGUGCAGAAGAGGAGAGUGGAAUUCCUGGUGUAGCGGUGAAAUGCGUAGAGAUCAGGAGGAACACCAAUGGCGAAGGCAGCUCUCUGGUCUGUAACUGACGCUGAGGCGCGAAAGCGUGGGUAGCAAACAGGAUUAGAUACCCUGGUAGUCCACGCUGUAAACGAUGCUUACUCGAUGUCGGGGAAAUGAGCCUCCUCGGUGUCCAAGCUAACGCGAUAAGUAAGCCGCCUGGGGAGUACGGUCGCAAGAUUA
Molecule: ribosomal RNA, 876 nt
Filed under: uncultured Bacilli bacterium
Lineage: Bacteria; Bacillati; Bacillota; Bacilli
Description: bacterial SSU rRNA
Rfam family: Bacterial small subunit ribosomal RNA
Source: RNAcentral